RNAcentral lists this long non-coding RNA (357 nucleotides) under Ananas comosus (pineapple). RNAcentral describes it as "long non-coding RNA (ACOM_LNC024900)". The record is from RNAcentral. Lineage: Eukaryota; Viridiplantae; Streptophyta; Magnoliopsida; Poales; Bromeliaceae.
ACAAAGAAAUUAUGAAGGCAGCGUUUGGUUAGGGAAUAUGAAUAGGAAUAGGCCCUUAUCCCCUUUAUACCCAAACGCUAAUUUUUUUACUCGAGAAUAGUAGUUCUCGGUUAUCCCCACCAACACCUUCAUUUUCUAUAUAAAACUAUCUAAAACUGUUCUUAUCCCUGGGAACAACCUAAUUUUCAUCCAAACACUAUUUUUCUUAUCCCAUACUUGUACCUAUUCCUGUAAUAGCUAAUUCUUGCUUAUACCCGAAUCGAACGGUACUUGAGAGAUUUAUUAAUUUGAUGUCGCACCCAUCUUACUGAAGUCGACACAACGAUCGUUUAUACAAUUGUGAUCAAGAGUUUCGAU